UUUGGACCUUUUAGCUGACCCUCUUCAAUCAUUUCUACUCCUUUCUUGGCCUUCUUCACCAUCUUGACUUUUGCUGGUCUCUGCCUGAGUGCGGGGUUGACAUCCUCAUUCAUUAUCUGGGCCAAGCUAAUAGCCUUGGAGUCCACCAGAUCUUGGACGAUAUGCUUAAAAGCUCUGCAACCUUCAAUGCUGUGUCCGGGUGCCCCAGAGUGAAACUCGCACUUGGCACUCUCAUCAUAGUUGGCAGGCCUCCGCUGCUGUUCUA
Molecule: long non-coding RNA, 265 nt
Filed under: Lathyrus oleraceus (garden pea)
Lineage: Eukaryota; Viridiplantae; Streptophyta; Magnoliopsida; Fabales; Fabaceae
Description: Pisum sativum (pea) long non-coding RNA (PSAT_LNC017101)
Source: RNAcentral